Molecule: ribosomal RNA, 399 nt
Filed under: uncultured bacterium
Lineage: Bacteria
Description: bacterial SSU rRNA
Rfam family: Bacterial small subunit ribosomal RNA
Source: RNAcentral
AACGAACGCUGGCGGCAGGCCUAACACAUGCAAGUCGAGCGCGCGCUUUCGGGCGUGAGCGGCGGACGGGUGAGUAACGCGUGGGAACGUACCCUUUGCUACGGAAUAGCCACUGGAAACGGUGAGUAAUACCGUAUGAGCCCUUCGGGGGAAAGAUUUAUCGGCAAAGGAUCGGCCCGCGUUGGAUUAGGUAGUUGGUGGGGUAAUGGCCUACCAAGCCUACGAUCCAUAGCUGGUUUUAGAGGAUGAUCAGCCACACUGGGACUGAGACACGGCCCAGACUCCUACGGGAGGCAGCAGUGGGGAAUCUUAGACAAUGGGGGCAACCCUGAUCUAGCCAUGCCGCGUGAGUGACGAAGGCCUUAGGGUCGUAAAGCUCUUUCGCCUGUGAUGAUAAGA